GAAAACCACAUACUGCAUGUUCUCACUCAUAAGUGGGAGCUCAGCUAUGGGUAUGCAAAGACAUACAGAGUGGUAUCAUGAACAUUGGAGACUCAGAUGGAAGGAGGGGGGAGGAUGGGAGG
Molecule: long non-coding RNA, 122 nt
Organism: Sapajus apella (tufted capuchin)
Lineage: Eukaryota; Metazoa; Chordata; Mammalia; Primates; Cebidae
Exons: 2
Source: RefSeq, a predicted model, not a curated record